UAGGGUUUGAUCAUGGCUCAGGAUGAACGCUGGCGGUAUGCUUAACACAUGCAAGUCGUACGAAGAUAAAAUUGUGCUUACACGAUUUUAUACUUAGUGGCGGACGGGUGAGUAACACGUAAGAAUCUACCUUUUGGCGAGGGACAACCACUGGAAACGGUGGCUAAUACCUCAUAUAACUGAGAAGUGAAAGAUGAAAAUCACCAAGAGAUGAGCUUGCGUCUGAUUAGCUAGUUGGUAAGGUAAAGGCUUACCAAGGCGACGAUCAGUAGCUGGUCUGAGAGGAUGAUCAGCCACACUGGGACUGAGACACGGCCCAGACUCCUACGGGAGGCAGCAGUGAGGAAUUUUCCGCAAUGGGCGAAAGCCUGACGGAGCAAUACCGCGUGAAGGAUUAAGGCCUAUGGGUUGUAAACUUCUUUUCUCAGAGAAGAAUUUUGACGGUAUCUGAGGAAUAAGCAUCGGCUAACUCUGUGCCAGCAGCCGCGGUAAUACA
This 496-nucleotide ribosomal RNA is filed under the name uncultured cyanobacterium. RNAcentral describes it as "bacterial SSU rRNA". It matches the Rfam family "Bacterial small subunit ribosomal RNA", at positions 1 to 527 of the family's 1533-position model. The record is from RNAcentral. Lineage: Bacteria; Bacillati; Cyanobacteriota.